CUUGGUCAUUUGCAACGUCGUCGGCAGCAUGGCGACACGAGAAGCCGACGGCACCGUAUACACCCACGCUGGGCCUGAGAUCGGCGUCGCUUCAACAAAGGCGUUCACGUCGCAGCUCGUGGCGCUGCAACUGCUCGCCCUCUACAUUGCCCAGGUGAGAGGAACGCUCUCUUCCGAGCAGAUGAAGUCCCAUAUCGACGAUCUCCUCCAGUUGCCACAUGUCAUCGAUCAGGCCAUUCGCGCGUCAGCGGCGAUGGAACGCGUGGCGGAGAAGUUUCACUCGCGCCGUGAUUUCCUGUUCCUUGGGCGUGGCUUCAACUACCCGAUCGCUCUCGAGGGUGCGCUCAAGCUGAAGGAGAUCUCGUACAUCCACGCGGAAGGUUACCCGGCCGGCGAAAUGAAGCACGGACCGAUCGC
This 417-nucleotide unclassified non-coding RNA is filed under the name fungal sp. RNAcentral describes it as "partial internal transcribed spacer region". Lineage: Eukaryota; Fungi. The record is from RNAcentral.